Molecule: ribosomal RNA, 82 nt
Filed under: Brachythecium rivulare
Lineage: Eukaryota; Viridiplantae; Streptophyta; Bryopsida; Hypnales; Brachytheciaceae
Also listed under: 14 other names
Description: partial 5.8S ribosomal RNA
Rfam family: 5.8S ribosomal RNA
About the family: 5.8S ribosomal RNA (5.8S rRNA) is a component of the large subunit of the eukaryotic ribosome. It is transcribed by RNA polymerase I as part of the 45S precursor that also contains 18S and 28S rRNA. Functionally, it is thought that 5.8S rRNA may be involved in ribosome translocation.
Source: RNAcentral
GCAGAAUUCCGCGAAUCAUCGAGUCUUUGAACGCAAGUUGCGCCCGAGGCUUGUCCGAGGGCAUUUCCGCUAGAGCGUCACC